CUUUUUUGGCAGUCUCACGGCCAGAGAGAUCAAUUACAUCAUCAAUCGAGUUGGCCUGCAUGGAAAGCUUGCAACAAUAUCAUCUUGUAUCAGACUUGUUACAUCAGGACUGGUACACUAUUGCAUCAGUGCUAAGUUGUGUGCUGCUCCAAGACUAGAAUUGGUAGCAAGCGCACAGUUUCGAGCUCCCAGGCUGAGCGUUUGAGGCCCGUCAGUCGUCUCUGAGAGGAUGGGUGAGUUCGAUCAUUGUUGUUAUUUCCUGUGCUCUGUGGGGUGGCCCCAACGUUUGAAAACGCAUCCUUCCCGGCUCUCCUGAAGAAUUUAGCGAUCCCCGUCUGCUUUUUAUUUGCAUUCAUCUUG
RNAcentral lists this long non-coding RNA (360 nucleotides) under Coccomyxa subellipsoidea. RNAcentral describes it as "long non-coding RNA (CSUB_LNC000590)". Lineage: Eukaryota; Viridiplantae; Chlorophyta; Trebouxiophyceae; Coccomyxaceae. The record is from RNAcentral.